GGCCGGUUAGCUCAGUUGGUUAGAGCAUGUUGCUACUAACACCAAUGUUGCUGGUUCAAUCCCCGCACCGGCCA
Non-coding RNA from Rhinolophus ferrumequinum (greater horseshoe bat), 74 nucleotides. NCBI's taxonomy places the organism in Eukaryota, Metazoa, Chordata, Mammalia, Chiroptera, Rhinolophidae. The record is from the annotation of a RefSeq genome assembly.